This 252-nucleotide ribosomal RNA is filed under the name uncultured prokaryote. RNAcentral describes it as "partial 16S ribosomal RNA". It matches the Rfam family "Bacterial small subunit ribosomal RNA", at positions 523 to 774 of the family's 1533-position model. The record is from RNAcentral.
AUACAGAGGUCCCGAGCGUUGUUCGGAUUCACUGGGCGUAAAGGGUGCGCAGGUGGGUUUGCAAGUUUGAUGUGAAAGCCCCGGGCUUAACCCGGGAAUGGCAUUGAAUACUGCAGAUCUGGAGGAUUGGAGGGGGGACUGGAAUUCUUGGUGUAGCAGUGAAAUGCGUAGAUAUCAAGAGGAACACCAGUGGCGAAGGCGAGUCCCUGGACAAUACCUGACACUGAGGCACGAAAGCCAAGGGAGCAAACA